RNAcentral lists this ribosomal RNA (253 nucleotides) under uncultured bacterium. RNAcentral's name for it is "partial 16S ribosomal RNA". It matches the Rfam family "Bacterial small subunit ribosomal RNA", at positions 524 to 776 of the family's 1533-position model. The record is from RNAcentral.
UACGUAGGGGGCAAGCGUUGUCCGGAAUCAUUGGGCGUAAAGAGCGUGUAGGCGGCCAGAUAAGUCUGGUGUGAAAUCUGGGGGCUCAACCCUCAGCGGUCACUGGAAACUAUCUGGCUUGAGUCCGGAAGAGGAGAGUGGAAUUCCUGGUGUAGCGGUGGAAUGCGCAGAUAUCAGGAGGAACACCAACGGCGAAGGCAGCUCUCUGGUACGUGACUGACGCUGAGACGCGAAAGCGUGGGUAGCAAACAGG